GAAAAUUUCAGAAAAUAGGGGAUUGGACUGCAAUUUUUGCUAGGGUUUCUUCUUCUUCUUUUUCCUCCUCCCAUGGCCGACCCUAACACCAUUGUUGCCUAUCUUCCACUCCGAUUUGCCUCCUUGCUCGUCGUCGACCGUCGACCACCGCCUUGUGGUCACCGCUUCAUCACCGUUGGUGAAGAAAAUCUCGAGGUUAUUGAACCCGAGAUCGAGGAUUAGAGCGAAUCUUUCAGAGUUCAUCGUUUAGACCAGGGUGAGGGAACUCGACAGAACUCCUCUUUCUUCUAUUCGCUUAGACAUAAUGAUAGGGAACGUAGAUAUCAUGCGGUUAGGAUUUUAGGAUAGACGCCUUAAAUUUUCUUGUGAAUUUAUGAUGCAUGUUGAUUGUUGAUUGAUGACUGAUGAGUGAUGAUUUAUGAUUGAUGACGAUUGAUAAUUGAUGAAUAAUGAAUGAUGAUUGAUGAUUGAUAAAUUUCUGUUGAGUGAUUAUGGCUUGUGACGUACAUGUUAUGUGAUGACGUUUUUUAAUGGAUUUAUUGGAUCGUUAGAAUGAGUUGAACUGGGGAUACUAAUUAAAUUUUGGCAUUAUGUUCGGAAAGAUAGGAGAAGUAAAGAAUUGAGUUAGGGACUGUGAUGUGACCUCAGACUAUGCUAAAAUAUUUUUAAAGUGAGUUUUGAGACCAUGGUACGGCGGCGAUCCGUAUGUGAUGGUAUGAUAACAACCCGAGCAUGGCUGCGAUCCAUGUGGAGUUAUAACCCUGACUACGGCGGCGAUCCGUAGAGGGUUACGACGAUUGGUUGAGUUUUGAAUCCAUGGUACGGCGGCGAUCCGUAUGUGAUGGCAUAACGAUCCGGGCAUGAUGGCGAUCCAUGUGGAGUGGUAACCCCGACUACGGCGGCGAUCCGUAGAGGGUUACAAAGAUAUUUUUGGUUUUGUUUUAUAAAAGAGUUUUGAGCUACGUUUGAGGGAUACUGAAUGGUCCUAGAGCCUGAAUUCGUUUUAAAUAAUCGAAUAAAGAAAAGAUAAGAGAAAAGUUGAAGAAAAAUGAGUUUGCUUGAGUUGAAUGUUGAUUGUAUUUGUUUUCUAUUUGAUUGUCUAUGUUGUGUACGGAGGCGAGGUUUAUAGUCUUGCGACUUCACUGAGCUAUUCGCGUAGCUCAUCCCUUCCUUUUUCCCACAGGUGAAAGCUGAAACAGAUUGUUUUGGUUGGACUCGAUAGUUGCCAGAAACACGAAGAAUUUGAUUUUCUAUUUUUACGAGUUUAGAAUUUUAGACUUAUGUUAUUUUAGACUUCCGCUGUAGACAUGUGAUUUUGAUGGUUGAUUUUAGAAUAAAUCGGAUUUUUUUUA
Molecule: long non-coding RNA, 1352 nt
Organism: Tarenaya hassleriana
Lineage: Eukaryota; Viridiplantae; Streptophyta; Magnoliopsida; Brassicales; Cleomaceae
Exons: 2
Source: RefSeq, a predicted model, not a curated record